RNAcentral lists this ribosomal RNA (303 nucleotides) under uncultured bacterium. RNAcentral describes it as "partial 16S ribosomal RNA". It matches the Rfam family "Bacterial small subunit ribosomal RNA", at positions 507 to 807 of the family's 1533-position model. The record is from RNAcentral.
AGCAGUCGCCGCGGUAAUACGGAGGGUGCAAGCGUUAUCCGGAUUUAUUGGGUUUAAAGGGUCCGUAGGCGGAUCUGUAAGUCAGUGGUGAAAUCUCACAGCUUAACUGUGAAACUGCCAUUGAUACUGCAGGUCUUGAGUAAAUUUGAAGUGGCUGGAAUAAGUAGUGUAGCGGUGAAAUGCAUAGAUAUUACUUAGAACACCAAUUGCGAAGGCAGGUCACUAAGAUUUAACUGACGCUGAUGGACGAAAGCGUGGGUAGCGAACAGGAUUAGAUACCCCCGUAGUCCCUGUCUCUUAUAC